UAAUAGGAUGGUGUAAUGUACAAGGUCAAUG
Molecule: non-coding RNA, 31 nt
Filed under: Rattus norvegicus (Norway rat)
Lineage: Eukaryota; Metazoa; Chordata; Mammalia; Rodentia; Muridae
Source: RNAcentral